Molecule: unclassified non-coding RNA, 138 nt
Filed under: uncultured Tremellales
Lineage: Eukaryota; Fungi; Basidiomycota; Tremellomycetes; Tremellales
Also listed under: 1 other name
Description: sequence contains ITS1
Source: RNAcentral
AUGAUGCCCUCGAAGUCUUUGGACUGGUAGGGUUUGUGUCGGUCUCUUCGGAGUCGACCUUAUCUCACACACCGUGAACUGUGGCUUCGGCCAUUUACACAAACUGUUAGUAAUGAAUGUAAUAUCAUAACAAACAUA